GCGUUGGUAGUUCAGUGGUAGAAUUUGAACCUUCCAUGUGGGAGACCAGGGUUUGAUUUCCAGCCAGUGCG
This 71-nucleotide transfer RNA is filed under the name Loxodonta africana (African savanna elephant). It matches the Rfam family "tRNA". From Rfam's summary of the family: Transfer RNA (tRNA) molecules are approximately 80 nucleotides in length. Their secondary structure includes four short double-helical elements and three loops (D, anti-codon, and T loops). The record is from Rfam by way of RNAcentral. Lineage: Eukaryota; Metazoa; Chordata; Mammalia; Proboscidea; Elephantidae.